GACGAACGCUGGCGGUGUGCUUCACACAUGCAAGUCGAACGAGGUAGCAAUACCUAGUGGCGGACGGGUGAGUAACGCGUGGGAAUCUGCCUUUAGAUGGGGGAUAACGGGUCGAAAGACUCGCUAAUACCGCAUAUGACGAAAGUUGAAAGGAGUAAUCCGUCUAAAGAUGAGCCCGCGUCCGAUUAGCUAGUUGGUAGAGUAAAAGCCUACCAAGGCGACGAUCGGUAGCUGGUCUGAGAGGAUGAUCAGCCACAAUGGGACUAGAGACACGGCCCAUACUCCUACGGAGGCAGCAGUGGGAUUUACGCAAUGGCGAAAGCCUGACGUAGCGACACCGCGUGAGCGAAGAAGCCCCUUGGGGUGUAAAGCUCUGUCAGCUGGACGAAAAAAUAGACGGUACCAGCAGAGAAGCAUCGACUAACUACGUGCCAGCAGCCGCGGUAAU
Molecule: ribosomal RNA, 448 nt
Filed under: uncultured bacterium
Lineage: Bacteria
Description: bacterial SSU rRNA
Rfam family: Bacterial small subunit ribosomal RNA
Source: RNAcentral